RNAcentral lists this ribosomal RNA (495 nucleotides) under uncultured bacterium. RNAcentral describes it as "partial 16S ribosomal RNA". It matches the Rfam family "Bacterial small subunit ribosomal RNA", at positions 28 to 507 of the family's 1533-position model. The record is from RNAcentral.
GAUGAACGCUGGCGGCGUGCCUAAUACAUGCCAGUAGAACGCUGAAGGAGGAGCUUGCUUCUCCGGAUGAGUUGCGAACGGGUGAGUAACGCGUAGGUAACCUGCCUGGUAGCGGGGGAUAACUAUUGGAAACGAUAGCUAAUACCGCAUAACAGUAGAUAUCGCAUGAUAUCUGCUUGAAAGGUGCAAUUGCAUCACUACCAGAUGGACCUGCGUUGUAUUAGCUAGUUGGUGAGGUAACGGCUCACCAAGGCGACGAUGCAUAGCCGACCUGAGAGGGUGGUCGGCCACACUGGGAGGGAGACACGGCCCAGACGCCCACGGGAGGCAGCAGUAGGGCAUCGUCGGCAAUGGACGGAAGUCUGAGCGAGCAACGCCGCGGGAGUGAAGAAGGUUGUCGGAUCGUAAAGCUCGGUUGUAAGGGAAGAACGAGUGUGAGAGUGGAAAGUUCACACUGUGACGGUAUCUGACCAGAAAGGGACGGCUAACUACGUG